AUUGAACGCUGGCGGAAUGCUUUACACAUGCAAGUCGAGCGGCAGCGCGGGGCAACCUGGCGGCGAGCGGCGAACGGGUGAGUAACAUAUCGGAACGUACCCAGUCGUGGGGGAUAACUAUCCGAAAGGAUAGCUAAUACCGCAUACGACCUGAGGGUGAAAGCGGGGGACCGAAAGGCCUCGCGCGAUUGGAGCGGCCGAUAUCGGAUUAGCUAGUUGGUGAGGUAAAGGCUCACCAAGGCGACGAUCCGUAGCUGGUCUGAGAGGACGACCAGCCACACUGGAACUGAGACACGGUCCAGACUCCUACGGGAGGCAGCAGUGGGGAAUUUUGGACAAUGGGGGCAACCCUGAUCCAGCCAUUCCGCGUGAGUGAAGAAGGC
Molecule: ribosomal RNA, 383 nt
Filed under: uncultured bacterium
Lineage: Bacteria
Description: bacterial SSU rRNA
Rfam family: Bacterial small subunit ribosomal RNA
Source: RNAcentral